AGAGUUUGAUCCUGGCUCAGAUUGAACGCUGGCGGAAUGCUUUACACAUGCAAGUCGAACGGCAGCACGGGGGCAACCCUGGUGGCGAGUGGCGAACGGGUGAGUAAUACAUCGGAACGUGCCCAGUCGUGGGGGAUAACGUAGCGAAAGCUACGCUAAUACCGCAUACGAACUCUGGUUGAAAGCGGGGGAUCGCAAGACCUCGCGCGAUUGGAGCGGCCGAUGGCAGAUUAGGUAGUUGGUGGGGUAAAGGCCUACCAAGCCGACGAUCUGUAGCUGGUCUGAGAGGACGACCAGCCACACUGGGACUGAGACACGGCCCAGACUCCUACGGGAGGCAGCAGUGGGGAAUUUUGGACAAUGGGCGCAAGCCUGAUCCAGCCAUUCCGCGUGCAGGAUGAAGGCCCUCGGGUUGUAAACUGCUUUUGUACGGAACGAAAAAGCCUGGGCUAAUACCCCGGGUCCAUGACGGUACCGUAAGAAUAAGCACCGGCUAACUACGUGCCAGCAGCCGCGGUAAUACGUAGGGUGCAAGCGUUAAUCGGAAUUACUGGGCGUAAAGCGUGCGCAGGCGGUGAUGUAAGACAGGUGUGAAAUCCCCGGGCUUAACCUGGGAACUGCAUUUGUGACUGCAUCGCUGGAGUGCGGCAGAGGGGGAUGGAAUUCCGCGUGUAGCAGUGAAAUGCGUAGAUAUGCGGAGGAACACCGAUGGCGAAAGCAAUCCCCUGGGCCUGCACUGACGCUCAUGCACGAAAGCGUGGGGAGCAAACAGGAUUAGAUACCCUGGUAGUCCACGCCCUAAACGAUGUCAACUGGUUGUUGGGUCUUCACUGACUCAGUAACGAAGCUAACGCGUGAAGUUGACCGCCU
Molecule: ribosomal RNA, 870 nt
Filed under: uncultured bacterium
Lineage: Bacteria
Description: bacterial SSU rRNA
Rfam family: Bacterial small subunit ribosomal RNA
Source: RNAcentral